UCAGCUCGUGUCGUGAGAUGUUGGGUUAAGUCCGCAACGAGCGCAACCCUUAUCCCUAGUUGCCAUCAGGUAAAGCUGGGAACUCUGGGGAGGACUGCCGGUGAUAAACCGGAGGAAGGCGGGGAUGACGUCAAGUCCCCAUGGCCCUUACAUCCCGGGCUACACACGUGCUACAAUGGCAGGUACAGAGGGCUGCGAAGCCGCGAGGUGGAGCGAAUCCCAGAAAACCUGUCUCAGUCCGGAUUGAAGUCUGCAACUCGACUUCAUGAAGGCGGAAUCGCUAGUAACCGCGAAUCAGCAGGUCGCGGUGAAUACGUUCCCGGGCCUU
Molecule: ribosomal RNA, 328 nt
Filed under: uncultured Latescibacterota bacterium
Lineage: Bacteria; Pseudomonadati; Candidatus Latescibacterota
Description: bacterial SSU rRNA
Rfam family: Bacterial small subunit ribosomal RNA
Source: RNAcentral